CACGUAGGCGGAUAUUUAAGUCAGGGGUGAAAUCCCAGAGCUCAACUCUGGAACUGCCUUUGAUACUGGGUAUCUUGAGUAUGGAAGAGGUAAGUGGAAUUCCGAGUGUAGAGGUGAAAUUCGUAGAUAUUCGGAGGAACACCAGUGGCGAAGGCGGCUUACUGGUCCAUCACUGACGCUGAGGUGCGAAAGCGUGGGGAGCAAACA
RNAcentral lists this ribosomal RNA (207 nucleotides) under uncultured bacterium. Its description in RNAcentral is "partial 16S ribosomal RNA". It matches the Rfam family "Bacterial small subunit ribosomal RNA", at positions 568 to 774 of the family's 1533-position model. The record is from RNAcentral.